RNAcentral lists this ribosomal RNA (501 nucleotides) under uncultured bacterium. Its description in RNAcentral is "bacterial SSU rRNA". It matches the Rfam family "Bacterial small subunit ribosomal RNA", at positions 28 to 521 of the family's 1533-position model. The record is from RNAcentral.
GACGAACGCUGGCGGCGUGGAUUAGGCAUGCAAGUCGAACGGUAUCAUCCUUUCGGGGGUGAGAGAGUGGCGGACUGGUGAGUAACACGUAGGUUAUCUACCCUCAAGACGGGGACAACCCAGGGAAACUUGGGCUAAUACCGGAUGUGAGCAACUUUUAGUUGUUUGAAAGGUGGCGUAAGCUGUCGCUUGGGGAUGAGCCUGCGUCCUAUUAGUUAGUUGGUGAGGUAACGGCUCACCUAGGCAAUGAUAGGUAGGCGGCCUUAACGGGUGGUCGCCCACACUGGGAUUGAGAUACGGCCCAGACUCCUACGGGAGGCAGCAGUCGAGAAUAGUCUACAAUGGUCGGAAGACUGAUAGUGCGACGCCGCGUGAACGAUGAAUCCCUUCGGGGUGUAAAGUUCUUUUAUAUGUGAGCAGUGCUUCUUAUAUUAACAGUAUGGGGAGAGAGAUAUUAGCAUAUGAAUAAGCAACGGCUAACUCCGUGCCAGCAGCCGCGGU